UGGGGAAUUUUGGACAAUGGGGGCAACCCUGAUCCAGCCAUGCCGCGUGCGGGAAGAAGGCCUUCGGGUUGUAAACCGCUUUUAGCCGGGAAGAAAAGGCAGGGGCUAACACUCUCUGUUCUUGACGGUACCGGCGGAAUAAGCACCGGCUAACUACGUGCCAGCAGCCGCGGUAAUACGUAGGGUGCGAGCGUUAAUCGGAAUUACUGGGCGUAAAGCGUGCGCAGGCGGUUCGUUAAGUCUGAUGUGAAAGCCCCGGGCUCAACCUGGGAAUGGCAUUGGAUACUGGCGGGCUUGAGUGUGGCAGAGGGGGGUGGAAUUCCGGCGUGUAGCAGUGAAAUGCGUAGAGAUGCGGAGGAACACCGAUGGCGAAGGCAGCCCCCUGGGCUGACACUGACGCUC
This 402-nucleotide ribosomal RNA is filed under the name uncultured bacterium. RNAcentral's name for it is "bacterial SSU rRNA". It matches the Rfam family "Bacterial small subunit ribosomal RNA", at positions 355 to 748 of the family's 1533-position model. The record is from RNAcentral.